Molecule: ribosomal RNA, 810 nt
Filed under: uncultured bacterium
Lineage: Bacteria
Description: bacterial SSU rRNA
Rfam family: Bacterial small subunit ribosomal RNA
Source: RNAcentral
AGAGUUUGAUCCUGGCUCAGCGCGAACGCUGGCGGCAUGCCUAACACAUGCAAGUCGUACGGAGAGUGGGGCAACUCACUCUCAGUGGCAAACGGGUGAGUAACGCGUGAAUAACCUGCCUUUGAGAAGGGGAUAACUGUCCGAAAGGAUAGCUAAUACCCUAUAUUGCCUUUUGUCACUAAGGCAAAAGGUGAAAGCGAGGCUGUCAAAGGCUUCGGCUCAAAGAGGGGUUCGCGUCCUAUCAGGUAGUUGGUGGGGUAAUGGCCUACCAAGCCAAUGACGGGUAGCUGGUCUUAGAGGAUGAUCAGCCACAGUGGGACUGAGACACGGCCCGCACCCCUACGGGGGGCAGCAGUGGGGAAUCGUGGGCAAUGGGCGCAAGCCUGACCCCGCAAUGCCGCGUGAGGGAGGAAGCCCUUCGGGGUGUAAACCUCUGUCAGAUGGGAAGAUGGGGCUAGGGGCUAAUACCUCCUGGUCUUGACGGUACCAUCAGAGGAAGGGACGGCUAACUACGUGCCAGCAGCCGCGGUAAUACGUAGGUCCCGAGCGUUGCGCGAUGUUACUGGGCGUAAAGCGUCCGUAGCUGGUUUCGUAAGCGGAUUGUCAAAACCCGAAGCUCAACUUCGGCAAGGCAUUCCGAACUGCGUUACUUGAGUCCUGUUCAGGUAGGCGGGAAUCCCGGUGUAGCGGUGAAAUGCGUAGAUAUCGGGGAGGAACACAGUGGCGAAGGCGGCCUACUGGGACGGUACUGACGGUCAUGGACAAAACUGGGGGAGCAAACCGGAUUAAAUCCCCUGGUAGUCAAGGGCG